UUUAUUCAGGAACAAUAUGUAUUAAUAUUUUGGUGUGUAUCUUGCCAAUAUCUUUUUUAAAAGUCUUUCUGAGAUUAUACUAUCUAUAAUUUCCCCAUCUCUGUAUAUUUCCUCAUAUCCUGUACUCUUCAUAAUGAUAUAUUUUUAAAUACUGUGCAGUAGUCUAGGGAAGUUUUAAUAACCUCUGAGCCUAUAUGGUUCCAGGUUUUUGCAACUGUAAAUAAUGCUGCUAGCAACAUUUCCCUGUAUGAAAAAAUUUUUUUAUUUGGGGAAGCACUUGGCUCUUGGUACAUGUUGCCGGGUGGAUUGCUAAUCCAGAAUGAGCAGUUGGUUAUACAGUCUUACCACUUCCCAUUUGACUUGACCUAUGGAUAAUUCAGAUGAAACUGUUCAGAAGAUGUAAUGUGACAUCCACCGGAGUCCCAGGCUGAGUGCCCUCACCCUCUGGAGUUCUGUUGUGGACUUGGAGCUUGAUUCUGCCUGCUGUCCACUCCGCUCUGCAUUAUCUGCUGUAAACAUGCCAGUCACCUGUGCUGACUUUACAGACAGUCUGCAGCCUGGCAGGGCCAGGUAGAAAAGUUGUAGCCAGGUAGGGGAGGAAGUCACUGUGACGACCUGGCUGCUUUCUGUUUGGAUAACUGGUAUUUAAAACGGAGAAAGCCAUGUGAUUUUAUUUUCAGCAGAAGUGAAAAAGCCCCCGAGAACAUUGAAGACACGUGAAAGGACAGAGGCAGAUCUUAUGAAGCAAAGCCAUCCAGACGCAGUUGUAUCACCCGUGUGAAUGUCUUUUACUGUGACAGUGGGAGCUACAGUUGCCAAUUUUCAGGAGACCUAAAUUACUAUUUCAGAUGGAUGCAGGCUUUAAAUUGGCCCCUGGAUAGCACAUUUCUUUUAAAAUUGAACCUUAAUUGAUUUUGAUUUUUUAAAGCUUGAAUUAAGUAGAAAAUUAAGGGCUUUUUAUAAUUAAAGAUGGUAAUAUAUAUUUAACUUGGAUGAUUACCUAAUAGAGAAUUAUUUAUACCCUAUUAUUAUUUUUAAAUAUUUAGUGUUUGCCACAAAAAGCAGAAAAUAUUCUGUCUUGUUGUUGAAUUCUCUUUAAUUCAUAUUUUAUAAGUCACAGACCAUUCUGAACAGGUUUGGGGAAGUUAGUGAAAACAUAGCCAGUAUGAUUUGUUAGUAUUAACAAAAUAUAUGCAGUUUUUUUUAUUCAUUUCUAAAUUGGAAUUUUUAGAAUUAUGAAUAUAAAUAUUUAUGCUCUUUCUGUUUUGAAGAAAGUACCUUAUUUCCUUAUGUGAAAAAUUUAUGCAAGAGUUCAAAAAAGCUCCAGGAAUAGAGUAAUAUUUUGAAUGGAAUUAAUUGUUUUUCACUUAACCAGAGUGGCCAAAUACUAUUUCAGCACAGAUUUAGUCCCAUUUCUGGACUUCCAAAACAAGAGACUAUUUACGAAUUCAUUUCAGUUUGGGUAUUUAUAAGAAGAAAAGACUGUUCUGAUGGCUGUGGAGUAGUCCUAAACACUGCGGCUUGGGAAAAAUACAAAGAUAAACUGCAGUGAUUACCAGUGAUUUACCUGUAGGUAUCCAAGUUCUUAUUGAGCAUAUGCCCUCCAUACAUGAAUUUUUAUUUAAAUAUAUCAUGCAUGUACUAUGUGUAGAUGAAUUUGUAUCAUUUAAAAAAUCCUUGCUGAACACUUGGGGAUAAAGCACUUUGAAAGACUGGUCCUAGUCCUGGUCGGUU
Myotis davidii is the source of this 1734-nucleotide long non-coding RNA. RefSeq lists it as uncharacterized. Lineage: Eukaryota; Metazoa; Chordata; Mammalia; Chiroptera; Vespertilionidae. The record is from RefSeq and is a predicted model, not a curated record. The transcript is spliced from 3 exons.